Molecule: long non-coding RNA, 234 nt
Filed under: Homo sapiens (human)
Lineage: Eukaryota; Metazoa; Chordata; Mammalia; Primates; Hominidae
Description: LHRI_LNC193.1
Source: RNAcentral
GUGCAAUGCCGCGAUCUCGGCUCACUGCAACCUCCGCCUCCUGGGUUCAAGCGAUUCUCUUGCCUAAUCUUCCUGAGUAGCUGGGAUUACAGGCACCUGCCAUCAUGACCAGCUAAUUUUUGUAUUUUUGUAGAGACAGGGUCUCACCAUGUUGGCCGGGCUAGUCUUGAACUCCUGACCUCAGGUGAUCUGCCUGCCUCAGCUUCCCAAAGUGCUGGGAUUACAGGCGUAAGC